GGACGGAGAAGAGGCGGGCAUGAUGUUGGUGUUCCAGAGAUCAACCCACAACCACCCUUAGUACAUCGGCGUCCCCGGUCACGCGAGCGGCGAAUCGGGCCAUGGCCGCUCCGCUGAGUACCCAGCCUCCAUCAUGGAGUCCUAGAGGGGAUAGAUGUGAGGGCAAGUCCGGCCACCAAGCAUGCCACGAGGGCGUAGAUCCUUUGAAAACAAAAACGACCAAGAACAAAUUAGAUCAACACAAACUAGUCAUGAAAUCCUUGAAGCAUUUGAAAUCACCCCCACCUCACCUCCAAAAUGGCAUCAAAUCGGUGUUGUUCCUUAGCACGGUUGUCGUGUACCUGGCCUCCAUCGUGGAGGGGAUAGAGGUGCUCCAAGCGUUCUCUUCGCCAAAACUCGGUCCGUCGAUG
This 410-nucleotide unclassified non-coding RNA is filed under the name Zea mays. Its description in RNAcentral is "misc RNA Zm00001eb164980". The record is from RNAcentral. Lineage: Eukaryota; Viridiplantae; Streptophyta; Magnoliopsida; Poales; Poaceae.